This 459-nucleotide ribosomal RNA is filed under the name uncultured bacterium. RNAcentral's name for it is "bacterial SSU rRNA". It matches the Rfam family "Bacterial small subunit ribosomal RNA", at positions 29 to 536 of the family's 1533-position model. The record is from RNAcentral.
AACGAACGCUGGCGGCAGGCUUAACACAUGCAAGUCGAACGGUCUCUUCGGAGGCAGUGGCAGACGGGUGAGUAACGCGUGGGAACAUACCUUUCGGUACGGAACAACAGUUGGAAACGACUGCUAAUACCGUAUACGCCCUGAGGGGAAGGAUUUAUCGCCGAGAGAUUGGCCCGCGUUGGAUUAGCUAGUUGGUGGGGUAAUGGCCUACCAAGGCGACGAUCCAUAGCUGGUCUGAGAGGAUGAUCAGCCACACUGGGACUGAGACACGGCCCAGACUCCUACGGGAGGCAGCAGUGGGGAAUAUUGGACAAUGGGCGCAAGCCUGAUCCAGCCAUGCCGCGUGAGUGAUGAAGGCCUUAGGGUUGUAAAGCUCUUUCGCCGGUGAAGAUAAUGACGGUAACCGGUAAAGAAGCCCCGGCUAACUUCGUGCCAGCAGCCGCGGUAAGUCACACUACA